RNAcentral lists this ribosomal RNA (275 nucleotides) under uncultured prokaryote. Its description in RNAcentral is "partial 16S ribosomal RNA". It matches the Rfam family "Bacterial small subunit ribosomal RNA", at positions 524 to 798 of the family's 1533-position model. The record is from RNAcentral.
UACGUAGGUGGCAAGCGUUGUCCGGAAUUACUGGGUGUAAAGGGCGUGUAGGCGGGGAGACAAGUCAGAUGUGAAAUACCGUGGCUUAACUGCGGGGGUGCAUCUGAAACUGUUUCUCUUGAGUGUCGGAGAGGAAAGUGGAAUUCCCAGUGUAGCGGUGAAAUGCGUAGAGAUUGGGAGGAACACCAGUGGCGAAGGCGGCUUUCUGGACGAUAACUGACGCUGAGGCGCGAAAGCGUGGGUAGCAAACAGGAUUAGAUACCCCUGUAGUCCCU